UACGUAGGGCGCAAGCGUUAUCCGGAAUUACUGGGCGUAAAGCGUGCGCAGGCGGUUGUGCAAGACCGAUGUGAAAUCCCCGGGCUUAACCUGGGAAUGGCAUUGGUGACUGCACGGCUAGAGUGUGUCAGAGGGGGGUAGAAUUCCACGUGUGAGCAGUGAAAUGCGUAGAGAUGUGGAGGAAUACCGAUGGCGAAGGCAGCCCCCUGGG
RNAcentral lists this ribosomal RNA (211 nucleotides) under uncultured bacterium. RNAcentral describes it as "partial 16S ribosomal RNA". It matches the Rfam family "Bacterial small subunit ribosomal RNA", at positions 524 to 733 of the family's 1533-position model. The record is from RNAcentral.